UGACGUGACAAGCUCUGCUGGGCACGGCCUUGUGAACCUCCCAGCUCACAGUGACCCCAGGCGACCCUACCCCUGCACCUGGUGAAUGACUCACAUGGCAGAUGCCCAGGGCAAGGCAGGUCCUGCGGCCCAAGCAAGAUGGCCAGACAGGUGCUGCCUUCAGAGCUUCCCCACCUCUGGGCGUAGACCUCCCAGCAAGACACUGGCCUGGGCCUCCCCUCCCUCAAGACCUACCCAGGACUACCCAGAUUAACAGAGGUGUGACUGAUGCUACAGUCAAUUUUACAUCUUAUCACCCCAGAACAGAAGCCUGCACCCAGCAGCCACCUGCCGCUCCCUGCAGGAGUGAAGGAAGCAGUGGUCCCCUCACUGGUGUGGCCAGGCCUGGCUCUAGCCCUCACAUAUUUAUGCUUCCUGUUUGGUCCUCAGAACCCAAAGCAACAGCCCCCGAGUUCAUGUACCCCAUCCCAGCUCACGGUCCUCGUUGGCAAGCGCCUGAUGCUCACCCAGUCUCCAGGAAUAAAGGGCGUAGGUGUGUGUGAGCCACAUGGGAAGCUGACCUGGGACUGGACACAGGAUGGAAGCCACUCCAGGGUCCCCAACACCUCCUGGCCCUCCAGUUCUGUCCUUCCUCCACUGGCCAGCGUGCUCUGGCUUCUAGAAGUUUCUGCUCUUUACAGCUUUCCUGACCCUAACCCCAACCCUACAGUGGGUUCAGCUCCCUACGGGAGGCUCAUGCUAACAGGAGGUAUGACCCAUUCUUUGUCUGCCACAGGUCACAGGCUGUAUGUCACUGGCCACUCUAGCGGCAGUUACAGCGGACAGGGCCUCACACAGGCUGUGAGCACCAUUGGGUUUCUCUGUGCUACAGUCUGGAGCAGCCGAGGCCACUGGGAGACCAGGCAGCCGCCCACCCAGGACUCAGAGACCACAUGUCCUCGCUGUCGCCCCAGUACCCCCUGCAGGAGCACAGCAAUGCUGACACUCAUGGUUCCUCGAGUGUUGUGCCUGCAGGCUCAUUGUGCUGACAGCUGAUGGGCUUUGGGGCAGUGACAGGGUCACGAAGGCCCGAACUUCGUCAGAUGGAUUUAUCCAUGGAUGAGUCCAUCUAGGAAUGGGCUGUUAGGAAACGGGCCCUGGCUGGAGGAAGGAGGUUCCUGGAAUCUGCCUUUGAAGGGCAUACCUUGUCACCAGCCCCUCCUCUGUGCCUCUCCCAUUCUACUUCCAGGUCAUUGUGAGGAGCGGGUUUCUUCCACCAUGUCCUCUUCCACGGUGUUUCUGCCUCACUGCAGGCCUAGAAGAAACAGAGCCAAGUAACCAUGGGCUGAAACCCUAGACCAUGAUCCCAA
This is a long non-coding RNA of Heterocephalus glaber (naked mole-rat), 1349 nucleotides long. The record is from Ensembl. NCBI's taxonomy places the organism in Eukaryota, Metazoa, Chordata, Mammalia, Rodentia, Bathyergidae.